GACGAGGGGGGGGGGUUCGACGAGGCCCAACCUCCCACCCGUGUUUACUGUUACCGCGUUGCCUCGGCGGGCCCACUGGGGCCUGGCCCCGGUCGCCGGGGGGCUUCUGCCCCCGGGCCCGCGCCCGCCGAAGCACCCUAGAACCCUGCCUGAACAGUGAGUCUGAGUGAGAUUUUAAAUCAUUAAAACUUUCAACAACGGAUCUCUUGGUUCCGGCAUCGAUGAAGAACGCAGCGAAAUGCGAUAAGUAAUGUGAAUUGCAGAAUUCCGUGAAUCAUCGAAUCUUUGAACGCACAUUGCGCCCCCUGGCAUUCCGGGGGGCAUGCCUGUCCGAGCGUCAUUUCUGCCCUCCAGCACGGCUGGGUGUUGGGCGCUGUCCCCCCGGGGACACGCCCCAAAAGCAGUGGCGGCGCCGCGUCGGGUCCUCGAGCGUAUGGGGCUCUGUCACCCGCUCGGGAGGGACUCGGUCGGCGCCGGUCUUCCCUUUAGGCCGCCCUUCGGGGUGCGCCUCUUCCGGUUGACCUCGGAUCAGGUAGGGCUACCCGCUGAACUUAAGCAUAUCAAUAAGGCGGGAGGAAC
Molecule: ribosomal RNA, 579 nt
Filed under: Talaromyces variabilis
Lineage: Eukaryota; Fungi; Ascomycota; Eurotiomycetes; Eurotiales; Trichocomaceae
Description: eukaryotic LSU rRNA
Rfam family: 5.8S ribosomal RNA (bases 187-340)
Source: RNAcentral